RNAcentral lists this ribosomal RNA (757 nucleotides) under Enterococcus faecalis. Its description in RNAcentral is "bacterial SSU rRNA". It matches the Rfam family "Bacterial small subunit ribosomal RNA", at positions 66 to 793 of the family's 1533-position model. The record is from RNAcentral. Lineage: Bacteria; Bacillati; Bacillota; Bacilli; Lactobacillales; Enterococcaceae.
ACGCUUCUUUCCUCCCGAGUGCUUGCACUCAAUUGGAAAGAGGAGUGGCGGACGGGUGAGUAACACGUGGGUAACCUACCCAUCAGAGGGGGAUAACACUUGGAAACAGGUGCUAAUACCGCAUAACAGUUUAUGCCGCAUGGCAUAAGAGUGAAAGGCGCUUUCGGGUGUCGCUGAUGGAUGGACCCGCGGUGCAUUAGCUAGUUGGUGAGGUAACGGCUCACCAAGGCCACGAUGCAUAGCCGACCUGAGAGGGUGAUCGGCCACACUGGGACUGAGACACGGCCCAGACUCCUACGGGAGGCAGCAGUAGGGAAUCUUCGGCAAUGGACGAAAGUCUGACCGAGCAACGCCGCGUGAGUGAAGAAGGUUUUCGGAUCGUAAAACUCUGUUGUUAGAGAAGAACAAGGACGUUAGUAACUGAACGUCCCCUGACGGUAUCUAACCAGAAAGCCACGGCUAACUACGUGCCAGCAGCCGCGGUAAUACGUAGGUGGCAAGCGUUGUCCGGAUUUAUUGGGCGUAAAGCGAGCGCAGGCGGUUUCUUAAGUCUGAUGUGAAAGCCCCCGGCUCAACCGGGGAGGGUCAUUGGAAACUGGGAGACUUGAGUGCAGAAGAGGAGAGUGGAAUUCCAUGUGUAGCGGUGAAAUGCGUAGAUAUAUGGAGGAACACCAGUGGCGAANNCGGCUCUCUGGUCUGUAACUGACGCUGAGGCUCGAAAGCGUGGGGAGCAAACAGGANUAGAUACCCNGGNUAG